UGCGGUGUCAAAGCCGUGCACUCUUAACGGUCGGACAAGUCCGUCGGAGUGUGGUUAUUGUUGGAAGGGCAACCGACCAAUGAGGCCACCGUAAUCGUUCGGGGUGCCUUUAAUCGGGUGUCUCGGGCGGCCGACAUAGUUUACUUUGAACAAAUUAGAGUGCUCAAAGCAGGUGACUACCGCCUGAAUAGUACAGCAUGGAAUGAUGAAAGAGGACCUCGGUCUGAUUUUGCUGGUCUUUAACGGUCGGGCUUCGGCCCGGCCUAUGCAGACCCGAGGUAAUGGUCAAUAGAGACGGACGGGGGCAUCCGUACUGCGGCGACAGAGGUGAAAUUCUUGGACCGCCGCAAGACGAACGACAGCGAAGGCAUUUGCCAAGAAUGUUUUCCUUGAUCAAGAACGAAAGUUAGAGGUUCGAAGGCGAUCAGAUACCGCCCUAGUUCUAACCAUAAACGAUGCCAACUAGCGAUCCGCCGGUGUUACUCCCAUGACUCGGCGGGCAGCUUCCGGGAAACCAAAGUCUUUGGGUUCCGGGGGAAGUAUGGUUGCAAAGCUGAAACUUAAAGGAAUUGACGGAAGGGCACCACCAGGAGUGGAGCCUGCGGCUUAAUUUGACCCAACACGGGAAACCUCACCAGGCCCGGACACUGGAAGGAUUGACAGAUUGAGAGCUCUUUCUUGAUUCGGUGGGUGGUGGUGCAUGGCCGUUCUUAGUUGGUGGAGCGAUUUGUCUGGUUAAUUCCGAUAACGAACGAGACUCUUGCCUGCUAAAUAGGUGCCGGGUUUUUACAUCUCCUCGCAAGGGGAGAGUGGAGUGUGUGGUUGUCGGGAUCCUGGGCUGUGGUGGUCGUUUAGGCUGCGGGGGGCAACUCUCGUGGUCUGGGCGGCUGUCAUAGUUCACCCGGUGUACGCACACUUCGCGUCCGGCAUUUUUCUUCUUAGAGGGACAAGCGGCGUCCAGCCGCGUGACAGUGAGCAAUAACAGGUCUGUGAUGCCCUUAGAUGUCCUGGGCCGCACGCGCGCUACACUGAAGGAAUCAGCGUGUUAUUCAUCCCUGUCUGAAAAGACCGGGCAACCGCUGAACCUCCUUCGUGGUUGGGAUUGGGGACUGCAAUGAUCCCCAUGAACCAGGAAUCCCUAGUAGGCGCGGGUCACUAGCCCGCGUCGAUUACGUCCCUGCCCUUUGUACACACCGCCCGUCGCUACUACCGAUUGAAUGAUUUAGUGAGAACUUCAGACGGCUAUGUUUGUCCGGGGCAACCCGCGUCGAGCAGGGCUGAAAGAUGUUCAAACUUGAUCCUUUAGAGGAAGUAAAAGUCGUAACAAGGUU
RNAcentral lists this ribosomal RNA (1331 nucleotides) under metagenome. RNAcentral describes it as "SSU rRNA". It matches the Rfam family "Eukaryotic small subunit ribosomal RNA", at positions 667 to 1801 of the family's 1831-position model. The record is from RNAcentral.